This 1441-nucleotide long non-coding RNA is filed under the name Malus domestica (apple). RNAcentral's name for it is "long non-coding RNA (MDOM_LNC016563)". The record is from RNAcentral. Lineage: Eukaryota; Viridiplantae; Streptophyta; Magnoliopsida; Rosales; Rosaceae.
CCUCUUCGAUUUUUGAGAAAGCAAUCAUGAUGGGGGUCUGACUCUCGAGAUUCGGAGAGCAGUGUCUCUUCGAUUUUUGAGGAAGUAAUCAUGUUGGGAGUCUGGCUCUCAAGAUUCGGAGGGCGGUGCCUCUUCGAUUUUGGAGCAAGCAAUCUUGUUGGGAGUGUUGUCUCGAAUGUGAGUAAAGGUUGGACAUGUUUGCUAGUCUACCUUGCCACGAAGCACAAAGGUUGACACACAGGGACUUUCCAAUUAUCCAGCAAUGGUACUGUUCCUUUACCCUCUCUUCGAUUUUGAGAAAGUAGUCAUGUUGGGAGUCUGGCUCUCGAGAUUCGGAGGACGGUGCCUCUUCGAUUUUGGAGCAAGCAAUCUUGUUGGGAGUGUUUUCUCGAAUGUGAGUAAAGGUUGGGCAUGUUUGCUAGUCUACCUUGCCACGAAGCACAGAGGUUGACACACAGGGACUUUCCAAUUAUCCGUACUGUUCCUUUACCCUUGUGGGUAAUAAUAUGGUAGCUAGACCUUCAAAAUUUAUGUGUCUAAACUUUGUUAGUGCUGUUUCUUUGCUAUUCUUUUACCUUUCUUGGUCAGAGCGAUGUAGUGGGAGCUGCAAGCUUACGUGCUCAACUUUGGCAGAGAACUUUGGCAAAGUUAUCUAUGGUACCCAUGAGUUAUUGUUGCGUGUGGGAAGUGGGUGAUUGAACAGUAAGAUUCAUGUGCUUUCUACUUCACCAGAAGUCUUCGACAAAAAUGCCCAUAAUUUCUGCAAAGCUGAGUGUGCGUGUGACAGGUGCUGACAAGGCUAGAAAAGUAGGUGCCUCUUCGAUUUCUGAGAUCGGCCCUCGUGGUCUCUGAGCAGCCCAGCUUUUGAGAAAGCGAGCGCCUCUUCAAUUGAUUCGGAGAACGAUGCCUCAUCGAUUUUUUGAGAAAGCAAUCAUGCUGGGGGUCUGGCUCUCGAGAUUCGGGGAGCAGUGUCUCUUCGAUUUUUUGAGAAAGUAAUCAUGUUGGGAGAGUGGCUCUCGAGAUUCGGAGGGCGGUGCCUCUUCGAUUUUGGAGCAAGCAAUCUUGUUGGGAGUGUUUUCUCGAAUGUGAGUAAAGGUUGGGCAUGUUUGCUAGUCUACCUUGCCACGAAGCACAGAGGUUGACACACAGGGACUUUCCAAUUAUCCAACAGUGGUACUGUUCCUUUACCCUUGUGGGUAAUAAUAUGGUAGCUAGACCUUCAAAAUUUAUGGGUCUAAACUUUGUUAGUGCUGUUUCUUUGCUAUUCUUUUACCCUUCUUGGUCAGAGCGGUGUAGUGGGAGCUGCAAGCUUCACGUGCUCAACUUUGGCAGAGAACUUUGGCAAAGUUAUCUGUUGGUACCCAUGAGCUAUUGUUGCGUGUGGACUACUUCCCCAGAAGUCUUUGACAGAAUGCCCAUAAUUUCCGCAAAGAUGAGUGUG